Molecule: non-coding RNA, 109 nt
Organism: Acanthosepion pharaonis
Lineage: Eukaryota; Metazoa; Mollusca; Cephalopoda; Sepiida; Sepiidae
Source: the annotation of a GenBank genome assembly
UACGGCCAUAUGUUGAAACACCGGUACUCGUAAGGUCACUGAUGUUAAGCAACGUUGAGCCUGAUCAGUAGCGAGAUGGGAACCGCUUGGGAUAACCAGGUGCUGUAAG